Long non-coding RNA from Sander lucioperca (pikeperch), 76 nucleotides. RefSeq lists it as uncharacterized. The record is from RefSeq and is a predicted model, not a curated record. Lineage: Eukaryota; Metazoa; Chordata; Actinopteri; Perciformes; Percidae. The transcript has 3 exons.
AAAAAGUCAUGUUGCUAAAACAAUGGAUUGUACAAAUGCUAUUGUAGUGCAAUGUCAACAUAAAUAAAGUACAGUG